Molecule: ribosomal RNA, 324 nt
Filed under: uncultured bacterium
Lineage: Bacteria
Description: bacterial SSU rRNA
Rfam family: Bacterial small subunit ribosomal RNA
Source: RNAcentral
GAUGAACGCUGGCGGCGUGCUUAACACAUGCAAGUCGAACGAAGCACCUGAGAAUGAUUCUUCGGAUGAAGUCUCUUGUGACUGAGUGGCGGACGGGUGAGUAACGCGUGGGUAACCUGCCUCACACAGGGGGAUAACAGUUGGAAACGACCGCUAAUACCGCAUAACCCGCUGGUGCCGCAUGGCACUGACGGAAAAGAUUUAUCGGUGUGAGAUGGACCCGCGUCUGAUUAGCCAGUUGGCAGGGUAACGGCCUACCAAAGCGACGAUCAGUAGCCGGCCUGAGAGGGUGAACGGCCACAUUGGGACUGAGACACGGCCCAG